UGGGGAAUAUUGGACAAUGGGCGAAAGCCUGAUCCAGCCAUGCCGCGUGUGUGAAGAAGGCCUUUUGGUUGUAAAGCACUUUAAGCGAGGAGGAGGCUACUUAGAUUAAUACUCUAGGAUAGUGGACGUUACUCGCAGAAUAAGCACCGGCUAACUCUGUGCCAGCAGCCGCGGUAAUACAGAGGGUGCGAGCGUUAAUCGGAUUUACUGGGCGUAAAGCGUGCGUAGGCGGCUUUUUAAGUCGGAUGUGAAAUCCCUGAGCUUAACUUAGGAAUUGCAUUCGAUACUGGGAAGCUAGAGUAUGGGAGAGGAUGGUAGAAUUCCAGGUGUAGCGGUGAAAUGCGUAGAGAUCUGGAGGAAUACCGAUGGCGAAGGCAGCCAUCUGGCCUAAUACUGACGCUGAGGUACGAAAGCAUGGGGAGCAGACAGG
Molecule: ribosomal RNA, 430 nt
Filed under: bacterium
Lineage: Bacteria
Description: partial 16S ribosomal RNA
Rfam family: Bacterial small subunit ribosomal RNA
Source: RNAcentral